GUGAAAUUGUUGAAAGGGAAACGGUUGAAGUCAGUCAUGCCGGCGGGAAUCAACUUAGGGGAAACUCUGAGUGCAUUUCUUCGCUUGGCAGGUUAGCGUCGAUUUUGAAUGUCAUAAAAUGAUUGGGGGAAGGUAGCUCUUUCGGGAGUGUUAAGCCCUUAGUAGAUGUGAUGUUCGGGAUCGAGGAUUGCAACGGAUACCCUCUGGGCUAGCCGCCUGAUCUCUAAUACGUUGUUGGGUUAUGGAUAGCAUGCUAACCAUGAUCUGAUUUUCGGUUAAAAGGUUAGAGCGAGUGUAAAUUCGUUAAGGACGCUGACGUAAUGGCUUUAAACGAC
Molecule: ribosomal RNA, 335 nt
Filed under: uncultured Scutellospora
Lineage: Eukaryota; Fungi; Glomeromycota; Glomeromycetes; Diversisporales; Gigasporaceae
Description: partial 28S ribosomal RNA
Source: RNAcentral